Molecule: long non-coding RNA, 760 nt
Filed under: Volvox carteri
Lineage: Eukaryota; Viridiplantae; Chlorophyta; Chlorophyceae; Chlamydomonadales; Volvocaceae
Description: long non-coding RNA (VCAR_LNC002072)
Source: RNAcentral
ACAACUAGACCAGCAUGGGUCUCUAGACUAGUGCUAUGGCUGGCGACGUGACGACGUGCAGGCUGGCUGGCGGACAGGCCAUGCGGAACAACAAGAACAAGACAAACGGACCCAUUUCAUCUAUGCAAGACAUAGUGGCCAUGUGGGCACAGGCCGGUGCGAAACUUUUACCUAAAGCUAAACAGUUACACACUGGGCUAGCUUACCACAACUAACCCACGUUCGUCGACGCAAGUUUGCAUUAAAAUCACGCGUGUUUCAUAGGUUCAGAAAUCAGUUUACCUGUGAUGUUUGGUUUUGGAUGGUUCACGUAUGGUCAUUGUGAUAGUCAUUUAAUAUGCAGCUUGGAUUGCAGCACCUUAGCAGCACUGCGGCAUGAGCAGCACUGCGGCAUGAGGUCGUCAUCUACCAUCCAACAACGUAUAUAACAUGAUGAGAUGGGUCGGAGAGAAUAGGGACACACAUGAAGCACAAAGCAUGAUUGUCGUUUGCACAUUAGUUUGGCCAGUCCUGCAAUUCAAUCGGCAAUCGUGCACCACCACAGUCAAGAUUGCAUGCCUGCCCAGCUGGCCAGGCUCGCAGUGCAUUCACGUCUUGACUGCUGUGCAUGCGUAUGCAUGUGUGCAGCAUGACUUCAUGAAGUUCUCGUAUGUGAAAUGCACAUUAUGCACCAGUGCGUGUUGCUUGAAGGAUGCAUACUUGCAUGCGUUGCCAAUGCCCGCCAAACUACAUGUUGCAGUGUGUUCAUGGUGACUAUGCA